UACGAGGGGUGCAAGCGUUGCUCGGAAUUAUUGGGCGUAAAGGGUAGGUAGGUGGUCUCAUUUGUCUGGGGUGAAAGCCUUGAGCUUAACUCAAGAAGUGCCCCGGAAACGGUGAGACUGGAGUCCUGGAGAGGGUCGUGGAAUUCCCGGUGUAGCGGUGAAAUGCGUAGAGAUCGGGAGGAACACCAGUGGCGAAGGCGGCUCGCUGGGCCGGACCUGACGCUGAGGCGCGAAGGCGUGGGGAGCGAACGGG
RNAcentral lists this ribosomal RNA (253 nucleotides) under uncultured bacterium. Its description in RNAcentral is "partial 16S ribosomal RNA". It matches the Rfam family "Bacterial small subunit ribosomal RNA", at positions 524 to 776 of the family's 1533-position model. The record is from RNAcentral.